This 253-nucleotide ribosomal RNA is filed under the name uncultured bacterium. RNAcentral describes it as "partial 16S ribosomal RNA". It matches the Rfam family "Bacterial small subunit ribosomal RNA", at positions 524 to 776 of the family's 1533-position model. The record is from RNAcentral.
UACAGAGGGGGCAAGCGUUGUUCGGAAUUACUGGGCGUAAAGGGCGCGUAGGCGGCCGACUAAGUCAGACGUGAAAUCCCCAGGCCCAACCUGGGAACUGCGUCUGAUACUGGAUGGCUUGAGUUCGGGAGAGGGAAGUGGAAUUCCAGGUGUAGCGGUGAAAUGCGUAGAUAUCUGGAGGAACACCGGUGGCGAAGGCGGCUUCCUGGACCGACACUGACGCUGAGGCGCGAAAGCCAGGGGAGCAAACGGG